UGCACAAGCAUAAUUGCCGAGUAACUGCUUCCCUCCUCUAUUUACAAAGGUUUAGCCAUUUCACUCUCCAUUCAAACACUGUAUCAUUACGCUCGAGAGAUAGUUCGAUUUUUAAGUUACGGAAAGUUCAAUUAUGCUCAACAUUCUGCUGAUUAUUCUCGAAACAAAAUUUGUUGAAUUUGAAUAUAAUUUUAAAAACGGUGUAUAUUUAAAGUUCUAACUCAUCGAAAGUAUAACUGGCGGUCGAAUACUGAGUAAAAUUAUAUGUUUGUUUACUGAUACAAAAGUAGAAGUGGAGCCGUUCUCCAUCACCGGCAUUCAAAUUUUUCUGCACGUGAAGAAUUUCCUGCAUAAAAGCACUAAUGGAUUUUGCAUUGACAAGCUGCUGUUGCUAAAGGUCUUACAAGGGAAGGACGAGAUGGGAAAUUGAGUUGAAGGGUGUUUUUCACCAAUCGACAAGCUAGAGGACCUGAAAUGUUUGAACCUCAGGCAGAGGAUGACAUUGACAAUUAAGUUACUGCUCCUGACAAAGUAGAUUCGACGAUGAUCGCAUACUUUUAAGGCACACUGGGGUUGUCCCAUGUUUUUUCCAGUAACUACCUUCAUAUUUCGUUAUUUUUCAAAAAUUCUUAUGCAUAAUGCAUAUUUUGAAUAAAUCACACUGUAAAAUAUGCACAAUGGACAUAGUUUUUUUUAAAAAAAAAUUCAUGUAAAUGCAAUGUAAUUUU
Argiope bruennichi is the source of this 728-nucleotide long non-coding RNA. RefSeq lists it as uncharacterized. The record is from RefSeq and is a predicted model, not a curated record. NCBI's taxonomy places the organism in Eukaryota, Metazoa, Arthropoda, Arachnida, Araneae, Araneidae. The transcript has 3 exons.